Molecule: ribosomal RNA, 252 nt
Filed under: uncultured bacterium
Lineage: Bacteria
Description: partial 16S ribosomal RNA
Rfam family: Bacterial small subunit ribosomal RNA
Source: RNAcentral
UACGUAGGUCCCGAGCGUUGUCCGGAUUUAUUAGGCGUAAAGCGAGCGCAGGUGGUUUAUUAAGUCUGGUGUAAAAGGCAGUGGCUCAACCAUUGUAUGCAUUGGAAACUGGUAGACUUGAGUGCAGGAGAGGAGAGUGGAAUUCCAUGUAUAGCGGUGAAAUGCGUAGAUAUAUGGAGGAACACCGGUGGCGAAAGCGGCUCUCUGGCCUGUAACUGACACUGAGGCUCGAAAGCGUGGGGAGCAAACAGG